CCCGCUGAACUUGAGCAUAUCAAUAAGCGGAGGAAAAAGAAACCAACAGGGAUUGCUCUAGUAACGGCGAGUGAAGCAGCAAUAGCUCAAAUUUGAAAUCUGGCGUCUUCGACGUCCGAGUUGUAAUUUGUAGAGGAUGCUUCUGAGUGGCCACCGACCUAAGUUCCUUGGAACAGGACGUCAUAGAGGGUGAGAAUCCCGUAUGCGGUCGGAAAGGCGCUCUAUACGUAGCUCCUUCGACGAGUCGAGUUGUUUGGGAAUGCAGCUCUAAAUGGGAGGUAAAUUUCUUCUAAAGCUAAAUAUUGGCCAGAGACCGAUAGCGCACAAGUAGAGUGAUCGAAAGAUGAAAAGCACUUUGGAAAGAGAGUUAAAAAGCACGUGAAAUUGUUAAAAGGGAAGGGAUUGCAACCAGACUUGCUCGCGGUGUUCCGCCGGUCUUCUGACCGGUCUACUCGCCGCGUUGCAGGCCAGCAUCGUCUGGUGCCGCUGGAUAAGACUUGAGGAAUGUAGCUCCCUCGGGAGUGUUAUAGCCUCUUGUGAUGCAGCGAGCGCCGGGCGAGGUCCGCGCUUCGGCUAGGAUGCUGGCGUAAUGGUCGUAAUCCGCCCGUCUUGAAACACGGACCAAGGAGUCUAACAUCUAUGCGAGUGUUCGGGUGUCAAACCCCUACGCGUAAUGAAAGUGAACGGAGGUGAGAACCGCAAGGUGCAUCAUCGACCGAUCCUGAUGUCUUCGGAUGGAUUUGAGUAAGAGCAUAGCUGUUGGGACCCGAAAGAUGGUGAACUAUGCCUGAAUAGGGUGAAGCCAGAGGAAACUCUGGUGGAGGCUCGCAGCGGUUCUGACGUGCAAAUCGAUCGUCAAAUUUGGGUAUAGGGGCGAAAGACUAAUCG
This 888-nucleotide ribosomal RNA is filed under the name Cladosporium herbarum. RNAcentral's name for it is "LSU rRNA". It matches the Rfam family "Eukaryotic large subunit ribosomal RNA", at positions 24 to 937 of the family's 3401-position model. The record is from RNAcentral. Lineage: Eukaryota; Fungi; Ascomycota; Dothideomycetes; Cladosporiales; Cladosporiaceae.